This is a non-coding RNA of Struthio camelus australis, 320 nucleotides long. The record is from RefSeq and is a predicted model, not a curated record. Lineage: Eukaryota; Metazoa; Chordata; Aves; Struthioniformes; Struthionidae.
GUCCCCGUUUUACAGCACUGAGAACUAAGCAAUAGUUCCAAGAGGUGGUGAUGCAAUUGCCGGAGGAUCCCUGCCUCAGCUGGAGGGAUGGAAGUAAUAUCUGCACACAGAUUCAUGCGGCCCUGUGGAGUUCAACAGAUUUGUACAGUUCUUCCAGCGCCAAGAGUUAUCUGUUCUUGUAAUGCAAGGGACUGAGCCACAUCGCAAUGACCUGCAAAAGCAGCACGAAGGACCUAUAGGUUUGUUGCACCUUCCUCAGAAGUAUUUCCUGAGCACUGCUGGAGGAAAGAACACCAAGCUUGGUGGACAAUUGAUAGGAU